RNAcentral lists this ribosomal RNA (252 nucleotides) under uncultured bacterium. RNAcentral describes it as "partial 16S ribosomal RNA". It matches the Rfam family "Bacterial small subunit ribosomal RNA", at positions 524 to 775 of the family's 1533-position model. The record is from RNAcentral.
UACGGAGGGUGCAAGCGUUGUUCGGAUUUAUUGGGCGUAAAGCGCGUGUAGGCGGUUUGUUAAGUCUGAUGUGAAAGCCCCGGGCUCAACCUGGGAAGUGCAUUGGAAACUGGCAGACUUGAAUACGGGAGAGGGUAGUGGAAUUCCUAGUGUAGGAGUGAAAUCCGUAGAUAUUAGGAGGAACACCGGUGGCGAAGGCGGCUACCUGGACCGAUAUUGACGCUGAGACGCGAAAGCGUGGGGAGCAAACAG